GACGAACGCUGGCGGCGUGCCUAACACAUGCAAGUCGAGCGGAGAUAAUAGCAAUAUUAUCUUAGCGGCGGACGGGUGAGUAACGCGUGGGCAACCUGCCUUUCACAGGGGGGAUAACACAGGGAAACUUGUGCUAAUACCGCAUAACACAACGAGAUAGCAUUUUCUUGUUGUCAAAGGAGCAAUCCGGUGAUUGAUGGGCCCGCGUCCAAUUAGCUAGUUGGUGGUGUAACGGACCACCAAGGCGACGAUUGGUAGCCGAACUGAGAGGUUGAUCGGCCACAUUGGGACUGAGACACGGCCCAGACUCCUACGGGAGGCAG
Molecule: ribosomal RNA, 323 nt
Filed under: uncultured Bacillota bacterium
Lineage: Bacteria; Bacillati; Bacillota
Description: bacterial SSU rRNA
Rfam family: Bacterial small subunit ribosomal RNA
Source: RNAcentral